Molecule: long non-coding RNA, 3005 nt
Organism: Mirounga angustirostris (Northern elephant seal)
Lineage: Eukaryota; Metazoa; Chordata; Mammalia; Carnivora; Phocidae
Exons: 2
Source: RefSeq, a predicted model, not a curated record
CUCUUUCUCCUCCCCUUCUCCUCCUCCUCCUCUUUCUUUUCCCCCUCCUCCUUCAGCGUUUUCCUUCCCCUCCUCUUCCCUCCCCCUUCCCUCCUCCCCUUCUUCCUUCUUUACCUCCUUCCCCUCUUUCUCUUUUGCCUCCGCCUCCGCCUCCGCCUCUGUCUCCUCCAAUCUGACGGAUGAACCGAAGCAGCAGAAACUGCAGUUGUAGACACAGGGUAUCUCAACAGAGCAAUAGAUACCGCUAGUGUGUGAUUAUUUAUAUAGCUCAGGGUGUGUUGGUAUAUAAUCUGCAGAGACGGGGGGAGGGGAGUGAAAUUGCAGUGUGUUCAGCUCAGCUAGCUGGCUGUUUUGUGAAUGUACAUGAUUUCUGAAGGUCUUGUGAAUGGAUUAUAGGGGAGGAUGGGAGGAAAGGGAUUUAUUGCUCCUUGUUAUAAUUUCUUUCUCUCUCUUUCUCUGUGUCGUUUGCUUUCCCGGAGCUGUAGCUCUUAAUGCUUAGCUAAGUGGCGUCAUCCAGUUGAAAUUGAAUCGACCCAUUAGAACUCCCCAUAGGAAUCUCUGUAUCCGGUCCUUGGGUAUUGUGGAUUCAAUAAGGAAGACAGAAUCCCUGCCUUCAUGCAGCCUCCUUAGGACUGCCAGUCUUCUGAAAAUAAAGCAGCUUUGGACAUUUUCUCUUAAAAUGAAGGACAAAGUUUUCUGUAAAUUAUCCUCAGUCCACUAAUUAAGUAGAAAUGGGUCUUCCUUUUGGGCAUCCAAACAGAAGCACUUGCAUGAAAACAAGUCUCAUAUUUAAAAUAAAAGAGAUCUGAUUUCAAGUCCUGCUUCAAUGGACAAGUAGCAAGAGCUUGAUCAUCAACAUUCUUAGGAUGCCUUGCUUACCCCAUCUAUAAAAAUGAGAUGGUAAAUGGUGACAGUUCUGAGUAAAACAAACCUGUGUGAGUCACGAAACUGAGAUUCUUAAUCUUACUCUAACUCCUUGUGUGACCUUUGUAAUUUACUCUCCCUCUAGUGCCUCAAUUUCUACAUUUACAUGAGAAGAUCUGAUUAGGUAAUUGCUAAGAUCCCUUCUAGCUCUGACAUUCUAUUAUUUACACCCUCUCAGGAGGAUUAAGAAAACAAAAGAAAGCAUGGGAUUAAAAAUAUAUAUGGUUGUGUGGGUCUGCAUGCUCAUAUGUGUAUGUGUGUGUCAAAGGUGCUCCAAACUCUUUUGUUGAUGGGUAGGUACGUAUAGUGUAUACACACACAUAUACGUACAUACAUACGCGUGUGUGUGUCUAUAUAAUUUCUAAGCAAAUCCAGUUCUCUUCCUAAUCAGAAUUUCUAGAGUCAAGAGAUUUGCCUAUGUAAAUUCUUCUCUUUUAUGGCUCAAACAUCUUCUUUACUCUUAAUAUUGACUUGAGCUUAUCAAGAUCAUGAAAAACAUUAAAGCUAAUCUGUAGUUUUAUCUGCAGAAGAGGAAAGAUUUACUGAUAUAUUCAUUCACCCAUUUUUUCAACAGGUAUUUAUUGCACAUCAACUAUGUGCCAAGUACUGAACUAACUAGAUUUGGGUCAAACAAAUCAGGGUUCAAAUUUUUGCUCCUAAAUUUAUGAGCUAUCUGACUUUGGACAUCUCAAUUCACGUCUCUGAACCAGUUUCCUCCAUUCAUCUAUAAAAUGAAGGUAACAAUAGUCCCCACAUCACAGAAUUGUGCUAUUUCCUAUAGAUUGAAUAAGGUCUUGCAUUUGAAAGUCUUAUCAUGUGUCUGGCAUAUAGUAAGUGUUCAAUGAACAGUAAAUAUGAACAUUAAGAAAAUUAAGAAAUUGUUCUCACCCUAAUGAAGCCCAUAGGAGAGGGAGAGAUGAUUUCAAUUUGAAAUCCUUUUAUUUUUUUAAGCUCCAUUUUUAAAUUUGAGCAGAUAUAUGCCAAAUAUAUCUUUCUUAAAUGUGGCUUAUUUUCAUACUUUAUUCCUUUGUUCAAAAACUUCUUUCUAAUUCCUAGAGCAUUAAGUUUAAAUUGCUUUGCCUGUCAAUCAAGUUAUUCUGACUCUAUACAUUCCACUUCUCAACAUACCUUUCAACAUAAGAUAAGUUGAGUGUUUGACUCUUCUAAGAUACCAAUCCAGCUUUCCAUAUGUAUCCUUCACAUGACUUGUGUAUAUUUAUUCAUUUUCUACUUUGGGGUCCUAAUUCUUCUGUGAAUACUUCCCUGGCUCUAAGGCUCCUUUCUGUUCUAAAGCUCUAUGAUAGUUUUUACUAAUACCCGAACUUAUUUCUACAUUUGUAACUCCUAUAACACUCUCAUCUAUGUUCUGUCCUGGUUAUUCAGUAGACUUUGUUAGAUACUUUACCUUCUUUCAAAAUCUUUUUGACUUAAUUGUCUUAUCAGAAAUGAUUUGGACAACCAGUUUGCUCUAAGUAUGGAAGGGUGUGUUUAAUUAAUUAUAAAACUAUAACUUAGAGAUUUCUAAAACAUAGUAGUAAGGAAGAUAUUUGGAGGGCAGAGUGAUUUUUCUGGUGUUCUUCAAGGUUACUUAUUUAUUUUUUGAAAUUACUGGCUUUUAGAAAUAGGUGGGUUGAGGGCGCCUGGGUGGCUCAGAUGGUUAAGCGUCUGCCUUCGGCUCAGGUCAUGAUCCCAGGGUCCUGGGAUCGAGUCCCACAUCGGGCUCCCGGCUCAGCGGGGAGCCUGCUUCUCCCUCUGACCCUCUCCCCUCUCAUGCUGUUUCUCUCUCGCUCGCUCUCUAAAAAAUAAAAAAAUAAAAUCUUAAAAAAAAAAAAGAAAUAGGCGGGUUGAUCUGUGCUAAGACAGUAUUUCCAAAUUCAACUGGAUUUGCGUUAAUGUCAGCAAGGUGUCUAUAAAGAGAAAAAAAACAUUGGAUUGGGAGACAGGAGACCUGUGUUUGCUCUAGGCCAACACUGUCACUAACUAGCUGUAUGAUCUUAGACAAUUCAAUGAAUAUGUCUAAAUGUGUUUCCUGAAAAGCACACCAUUAACUAAAGAGCUAAGAAAGCAUGUUUCCUGAAAUA